Long non-coding RNA from Nyctereutes procyonoides (raccoon dog), 643 nucleotides. RefSeq lists it as uncharacterized. Lineage: Eukaryota; Metazoa; Chordata; Mammalia; Carnivora; Canidae. The transcript is spliced from 4 exons. The record is from RefSeq and is a predicted model, not a curated record.
UCGGCUGGGCUGGAAUCGCUGGGUUCCGCCCCUCGUCGGCGGCUUCCCGCCCCCCACGGAGGCGCGAUCUGAAACGGGCCUUCCACCAGCCAAUCACGUCUGCCAGCGAGUCACCACCAAGAUUUGGGAGAGUACAAAGGAGGGCAUAGGGAGAGAAGCAGACUCCCUGCCGAGUGAGGAGCCCAACAGGAGGUUCAAUUCUAUGACCCUGAGAUCCUGACCUGAGCUGAAACCAAGAGUCAGAGACUUAACAGACUGAGCUACCCAGGUGCCCCAUAUAUGUACAUUUCUAUUAGAAUCUCCAAACAAAACAAACUGACACACACAGAGAGAUGCUAAGAAGAGAUGGUGAGAAAACUUUAGAAGGCUCCAGGUGCUGAUCUGGCAGCCCAAAUGCAGCUCUGCGCCCCCAGAGAUAUGGAAAACAAAGAAAAUUCCACAAUUUAUGAAAUAAGAGGACAUUUCUUGGGACACCUGGGUGGCUCAGAGGUUGAGCAUCUGCCUUUAGCUCAGAGCAUGAUCCCAGUGUUCAGGAUCGAGUCCUGCAUUGGCCUCCCUACAAGGAGCCUGCUUCUGCCUCUGCCUCUCUCUGUGUCUCUCAUGAAUAAAUGAAUAAAAUCUUAAAAAAAAAAAGACAUUUCUC